Molecule: ribosomal RNA, 301 nt
Filed under: uncultured bacterium
Lineage: Bacteria
Description: partial 16S ribosomal RNA
Rfam family: Bacterial small subunit ribosomal RNA
Source: RNAcentral
CAGUCGCCGCGGUAAUACAGAGGGUGCGAGCGUUAAUCGGAUUUACUGGGCGUAAAGCGUGCGUAGGCGGCUUUUUAAGUCGGAUGUGAAAUCCCUGAGCUUAACUUAGGAAUUGCAUUCGAUACUGGGAAGCUAUAGUAUGGGAGAGGAUGGUAGAAUUCCAGGUGUAGCGGUGAAAUGCGUAGAGAUCUGGAGGAAUACCGAUGGCGAAGGCAGCCAUCUGGCCUAAUACUGACGCUGAGGUACGAAAGCAUGGGGAGCAAACAGGAUUAGAUACCCGUGUAGUCCCUGUCUCUUAUAC